AACGGUGGCCGUUCUGUCGCUGCCUCCCCGUGGGAGGGAGAGGAAAGUCCGGGCAACACAGAGCACCAUGCUUCUUAACAGGAAGGGGCUCCGCAAGGAGUCACAGACAGGGCCACAGAAAACAACCGCCUGAGCAAUCAGGUAAGGGUGAAAACGCGAGGUAAGAGCUCACGACGUCGGUAGUGAUAUUCGACGGGGGUAAACCUCAUGGGUUGAAAAACCAAAUAAACCGGGGCUUGAGGGUGGCUCGCCCGAUCCCGGAGGGUAGGUCGAUGGAGCAUUGCGGCAACGCAAUGCCUAGAUAAAUGACAGAAGAUUACAGAACCCGGCUUACAGGUCACCGUUAUUU
Molecule: RNase P RNA, 349 nt
Filed under: Bacteroidales bacterium
Lineage: Bacteria; Pseudomonadati; Bacteroidota; Bacteroidia; Bacteroidales
Description: RNase P RNA component class A
Rfam family: Bacterial RNase P class A
About the family: Ribonuclease P (RNase P) is a ubiquitous endoribonuclease, found in archaea, bacteria and eukarya as well as chloroplasts and mitochondria.
Source: RNAcentral